CAUUAAUUUGGUGUUGCGGGGAAACAGGACUGUUACUUUGAAAAAAUUAGAGUGUUUAAAGCAGGCUAGCGCCUGAAUACAUUAGCAUGGAAUAAUGAAAUAGGACGUUCGAACCUAUUUUGUUGGUUUCUAGGAUCGACGUAAUGAUUAAUAGGGAUAGUUGGGGGCAUUAGUAUUCAAUUGUCAGAGGUGAAAUUCUUGGAUUUAUUGAAGACUAACUACUGCGAAAGCAUUUGCCAAGGAUGUUUUCAUUAAUCAAGAACGAAAGUUAGGGGAUCGAAGACGAUCAGAUACCGUCGUAGUCUUAACCAUAAACUAUGCGGACGAGGGAUCAGAAUGAUGUUAUUUUUAAGGACUCA
RNAcentral lists this ribosomal RNA (359 nucleotides) under uncultured Glomeromycotina. RNAcentral describes it as "SSU rRNA". It matches the Rfam family "Eukaryotic small subunit ribosomal RNA", at positions 720 to 1077 of the family's 1831-position model. Lineage: Eukaryota; Fungi; Glomeromycota. The record is from RNAcentral.